RNAcentral lists this ribosomal RNA (540 nucleotides) under Enterobacter sichuanensis. RNAcentral describes it as "partial 23S ribosomal RNA". It matches the Rfam family "Bacterial large subunit ribosomal RNA", at positions 2259 to 2798 of the family's 2925-position model. RNAcentral also lists the same sequence under 1 other name. The record is from RNAcentral. Lineage: Bacteria; Pseudomonadati; Pseudomonadota; Gammaproteobacteria; Enterobacterales; Enterobacteriaceae.
UGGUGGGUAGUUUGACUGGGGCGGUCUCCUCCCAAAGAGUAACGGAGGAGCACGAAGGUUAGCUAAUCCUGGUCGGACAUCAGGAGGUUAGUGCAAUGGCAUAAGCUAGCUUGACUGCGAGAGUGACGGCUCGAGCAGGUGCGAAAGCAGGUCAUAGUGAUCCGGUGGUUCUGAAUGGAAGGGCCAUCGCUCAACGGAUAAAAGGUACUCCGGGGAUAACAGGCUGAUACCGCCCAAGAGUUCAUAUCGACGGCGGUGUUUGGCACCUCGAUGUCGGCUCAUCACAUCCUGGGGCUGAAGUAGGUCCCAAGGGUAUGGCUGUUCGCCAUUUAAAGUGGUACGCGAGCUGGGUUUAGAACGUCGUGAGACAGUUCGGUCCCUAUCUGCCGUGGGCGCUGGAGAAUUGAGGGGGGCUGCUCCUAGUACGAGAGGACCGGAGUGGACGCAUCACUGGUGUUCGGGUUGUCAUGCCAAUGGCACUGCCCGGUAGCUAAAUGCGGAAGAGAUAAGUGCUGAAAGCAUCUAAGCACGAAACUUGCC